Molecule: non-coding RNA, 88 nt
Filed under: human gut metagenome
Description: Glycine riboswitch
Rfam family: Glycine riboswitch aptamer
About the family: This family represents the bacterial glycine riboswitch. Glycine riboswitches usually consist of two metabolite-binding aptamers domains with similar structures in tandem.
Source: RNAcentral
GAACUCUGGAGAAUCUCAUUAAAUUGAGUGCCGAAGGUGCAAGGCUGCAAGGGCGCGGCUGAAUCUCUCAGGCAAACGGACAGAGCGA